GACGAACGCUGGCGGCGUGUUUAACACAUGCAAGUCGAACGGAAAGGCCCUGCUUUUGUGGGGUGCUCGAGUGGCGAACGGGUGAGUAACACGUGAGUAACCUGCCCUUGACUUUGGGAUAACUUCAGGAAACUGGGGCUAAUACCGGAUAGGAGCUCCUGCUGCAUGGUGGGGGUUGGAAAGUUUCGGCGGUUGGGGAUGGACUCGCGGCUUAUCAGCUUGUUGGUGGGGUAGUGGCUUACCAAGGCUUUGACGGGUAGCCGGCCUGAGAGGGUGACCGGCCACAUUGGGACUGAGAUACGGCCCAGACUCCUACGGGAGGCAGCAGUGGGGAAUAUUGCACAAUGGGCGGAAGCCUGAUGCAGCAACGUCGCGUGCGGGAUGACGGCCUUCGGGUUGUAAACCGCUUUCGCCUGUGACGAAGCGUGAGUGACGGUAAUGGGUAAAGAAGCACCGGCUAACUACGUG
RNAcentral lists this ribosomal RNA (468 nucleotides) under uncultured bacterium. RNAcentral describes it as "partial 16S ribosomal RNA". It matches the Rfam family "Bacterial small subunit ribosomal RNA", at positions 28 to 507 of the family's 1533-position model. The record is from RNAcentral.